RNAcentral lists this ribosomal RNA (119 nucleotides) under Pteropus alecto (black flying fox). Lineage: Eukaryota; Metazoa; Chordata; Mammalia; Chiroptera; Pteropodidae. The record is from RNAcentral.
GUCUACGGCCAUGCCACCCUGAACACACCUGAUCUCCUCUGAUCUCGGAAGCUAAGCAGGGUCGGGCCUGGUUAGUACUUGGAUGGGAGACCACGUAGGAAGACCAGGUGCUGUAGGUG